AACGAACGCUGGCGGCAGGCUUAACACAUGCAAGUCGAACGCAUCCUUCGGGGUGAGUGGCAGACGGGUGAGUAACGCGUGGGAACGUGCCAUUCAGUUCGGGAUAACCCAGGGAAACUUGGGCUAAUACCGGAUACGUGCGAGAGCAGAAAGAUUUAUCGCUGAAGGAUCGGCCCGCGUCUGAUUAGCUAGUGGGUGGGGUAAUGGCCCACCAAGGCGACGAUCAGUAGGUGGUCUGAGAGGAUGAUCAGCCACAUUGGGACUGGGACAGCGCCCUACGUCUUACGGAUGGCGGAAUUGGGGAAUAUUGGACGAUGGGCUCAAGCCUGGUCCAGCCAUGCCGCGUGAGUGAGGAAGGCGUGAGGUUUGUAAAGCUCUUUCGUCCGGGACGAGAAGGACGGGACCGGAAGAAGAAGCCCCGGCUAACUGCGUGCCGGCGGCCGCCGUAA
RNAcentral lists this ribosomal RNA (449 nucleotides) under uncultured bacterium. RNAcentral's name for it is "partial 16S ribosomal RNA". It matches the Rfam family "Bacterial small subunit ribosomal RNA", at positions 29 to 523 of the family's 1533-position model. The record is from RNAcentral.